Molecule: long non-coding RNA, 1050 nt
Organism: Malurus melanocephalus (red-backed fairy wren)
Lineage: Eukaryota; Metazoa; Chordata; Aves; Passeriformes; Maluridae
Exons: 3
Source: RefSeq, a predicted model, not a curated record
CACUGAGAGAAAGGAAAGGAGGCAAGGGACAGGCGAAGAAACGGGAUCAUGCAAAACAGGAGUCAUUACAACAAAAAAAGAAGAGAAGAGGGUAGUCUGAACCCAGGGAAAGCAGGGGUAAGGAGGGAAAUGUGACCACACCAACAGAGGAGAGCAGAGCUCCCGUGUCUGUGUCUCCACAUCACAAAGAGCAGGGUACAGGACAAGCAAAUAAUCUGGAAUAUGCAGGUGAAGUGUGAUUGAACCUUCAUCGAUCCUCCUGCAGUCUCCUUCCGGACCUCCCUCUGUUGUUUCUGUCAUUCCUGCUCUGUAAACUCCUGAGGAAGCCUGUUGAUGUCUGAAGGAGAGAGGCAGAUCACAGAUAUUUGGGUAUGGAAGAAACAACUUCAAGACAGCUGAAGUGAGCUUUUCUCCAGCACCCCAGCAGCACCGAGAUGGAGCUCCAAACCCUGGUCAUUGGAAGAGCAAUUCAGUAGCAGCCUUGCUCUUUGUGGGAGCAUGAAUUAUUCUCUGUGGUUUUCAGACCGGCUCGGACUCUCAAGAAGGGAUCAGAAUUUUCAUCGCAGGGGUCCAGUCACAGAAUUGUGAAUUACAAUUCACUGUCUUCAGAAUUCACUCAAGCAACAAUGACCAGGGUGGGCAUUUAUCGCUAUUCCGCCCCUAUGGAGUUCAGAGUCUUUGAAUCAAAGUUCAAGCUGGCUACAUGAUUUCAGAAAGGCUAAAACCAGGAUGAAUGCCCACAUUUGAGACUCAUGACCAGGACAACCUGAUGAUGAGGGUGGACACCGUCCUCCUACUCCAUCGAGAACAUCGGCAAACAGCAGAAUGAGAAUUCAGUUUCCAGGGAGGAAACCUGCUAUUUCAACAGGACAUAAACAGACCGGUACACAAAUGAGUCCCCAGACCCUCUGGGUCCUCACAGACRACCUGGUCACUUCCAGCCCAUCCAGUGCUCGACAAAACACCCAGUUAUAUACACUUCUGACCCCAAUGAGCCUCCCCAACACCUCACCAAGUGAGCUACGAUUGACGACAUGGGAAAAAAACCCC